AGUCACUGACAUUAGACUACCCGGUAGUCCCAGCCGUAAACUAUGCGCGUUAGGUGUAUCGGUGACCACGAGUCACCGAGGUGCCGAAGGGAAACCGUGAAACGUGCCGCCUGGGAAGUACGGUCGCAAGGCUGAAACUUAAAGGAAUUGGCGGGGGAGCACAACAACGGGUGGAGCCUGCGGUUUAAUUGGACUCAACGCCGGACAACUCACCGGGAACGACAGCAAUAUGUAGGCCAGGCUGAGGACCUUGCCUGAAUCGCUG
RNAcentral lists this ribosomal RNA (265 nucleotides) under uncultured archaeon. RNAcentral's name for it is "partial 16S ribosomal RNA". It matches the Rfam family "Archaeal small subunit ribosomal RNA", at positions 718 to 982 of the family's 1478-position model. The record is from RNAcentral.